This 328-nucleotide ribosomal RNA is filed under the name Yersinia pestis. Its description in RNAcentral is "bacterial LSU rRNA". It matches the Rfam family "Bacterial large subunit ribosomal RNA", at positions 421 to 752 of the family's 2925-position model. The record is from RNAcentral. Lineage: Bacteria; Pseudomonadati; Pseudomonadota; Gammaproteobacteria; Enterobacterales; Yersiniaceae.
GACACGAGAAAUCCUGUCUGAACAUGGGGGGGACCAUCCUCCAAGGCUAAAUACUCAUCAUCGACCGAUAGUGAACCAGUACCGUGAGGGAAAGGCGAAAAGAACCCCGGGAGGGGAGUGAAACAGAACCUGAAACCUGAUGCAUACAAACAGUGGGAGCACCCUUGUGGUGUGACUGCGUACCUUUUGUAUAAUGGGUCAACGACUUACAUUCAGUAGCGAGCUUAACCGGAUAGGGGAGGCGUAGGGAAACCGAGUCUUAAUAGGGCGACUAGUUGCUGGGUGUAGACCCGAAACCGAGUGAUCUAUCCAUGGCCAGGAUGAAGGU